UCAACAGAAAAGCACCGAGAGGAAAAGCUGCUCGGACGGAGAGCGGAACAAGCCAGUCAAACUUCCUCGGGCUGACUUGACGUCACGCACAACUACCACAGCUCCCGUGAUCUACAACGAUCAAGACUCGUCAUCAAACGACAGCAGCAGCUGUGAUGAUAGCAAGUCUCUGGCACAGGAGGCACUGGACAUCAUGAAGAAUGAGCCUACUUCUGAGUCCUACUGGCAGGAUGUGGCAGAAGAGAGGAGACUGGCACUAGUAGACACACUCAAGGAAAA
This is a long non-coding RNA of Branchiostoma belcheri (Belcher's lancelet), 279 nucleotides long. RefSeq lists it as uncharacterized. The record is from RefSeq and is a predicted model, not a curated record. Lineage: Eukaryota; Metazoa; Chordata; Leptocardii; Amphioxiformes; Branchiostomatidae. The transcript has 2 exons.